AGAGUUUGAUCCCUGGCUCAGAUUGAACGCUGGCGGUAUGCUUUACACAUGCAAGUCGAACGGGCUUGGGGGCUUGCUCCCGGGUUAGUGGCGAACGGGUGAGUAAUAUAUCGGAACAUAUCCGGAAGUGGGGGAUAACCUAGCGAAAGUUACGCUAAUACCGCAUAUGCCCUGAGGGGGAAAGGGGGGGAUCGCAAGACCUCUCGCUUUCGGAGUGGCCGAUACCGGAUUAGCUAGAUGGUGAGGUAAAGGCUCACCAUGGCGACGAUCCCGUAGCGGGUCUGAGAGGACGACCCGCCACACUGAACUGAGACACGUCC
This 320-nucleotide ribosomal RNA is filed under the name uncultured beta proteobacterium. RNAcentral's name for it is "bacterial SSU rRNA". It matches the Rfam family "Bacterial small subunit ribosomal RNA", at positions 8 to 331 of the family's 1533-position model. The record is from RNAcentral. Lineage: Bacteria; Pseudomonadati; Pseudomonadota; Betaproteobacteria.